GACGAACGCUGGCGGCGUGCUUAACACAUGCAAGUCGAACGGUGAAGCGCCUUCCUUUUUGGUGGGUGUGGAUGAGUGGCGAACGGGUGAGUAACACGUGAGUAACCUGCCCCCUUCUUCUGGAUAACCGCAUGAAAGUGUGGCUAAUACGGGAUAUUCUGGGUCUGUCGCAUGAUGGGUCUGGGAAAGAUAUUGUUUCGGUGGGGGAUGGGCUCGCGGCCUAUCAGCUUGUUGGUGGGGUGAUGGCCUACCAAGGCGGUGACGGGUAGCCGGCCUGAGAGGGUGGACGGUCACACUGGGACUGAGACACGGCCCAGACUCCUACGGGAGGCAGCGGUAGGGAAUAGUGCACAAUGGGCGCAAGCCUGAUGCAGCGACGCCGCGUGAGGGAUGGAGGCCUUCGGGUUGUGAACCUCUUUCGCCAGUGAAGCAGGCCUGCCUCGUUUGUGGGUGGGUUGACGGUAGCUGGAUAAGAAGCGCCGGCUAACUACGUG
This 494-nucleotide ribosomal RNA is filed under the name uncultured bacterium. Its description in RNAcentral is "partial 16S ribosomal RNA". It matches the Rfam family "Bacterial small subunit ribosomal RNA", at positions 28 to 507 of the family's 1533-position model. The record is from RNAcentral.